This 252-nucleotide ribosomal RNA is filed under the name uncultured bacterium. RNAcentral's name for it is "partial 16S ribosomal RNA". It matches the Rfam family "Bacterial small subunit ribosomal RNA", at positions 524 to 775 of the family's 1533-position model. The record is from RNAcentral.
GACGUAGGGCGCGAGCGUUGUCCGGAUUUAUUGGGCGUAAAGAGCUCGUAGGCGGCUUGUCGCGUCGACUGUGAAAUCCCGCGGCUCAACCGCGGGUCUGCAGUCGAUACGGGCAGGCUAGAGUUCGGUAGGGGAGACUGGAAUUCCUGGUGUAGCGGUGAAAUGCGCAGAUAUCAGGAGGAACACCGAUGGCGAAGGCAGGUCUCUGGGCCGAUACUGACGCUGAGGAGCGAAAGCGUGGGGAGCGAACAG